Nilaparvata lugens (brown planthopper) is the source of this 330-nucleotide long non-coding RNA. RefSeq lists it as uncharacterized. The transcript is spliced from 3 exons. Lineage: Eukaryota; Metazoa; Arthropoda; Insecta; Hemiptera; Delphacidae. The record is from RefSeq and is a predicted model, not a curated record.
GUGACAGUGUACAAAACGAUUUGCUGGCUUUUGUUUACUCAGCUGUCGCCAUUUUGCUGUCUUUGAUUUAUACGGCAUUGGUUUCCCUGGUUGCAUUGGGCACUUGUCUGCUGGAUGAUUGAGUUGUUUGGUGUUUGUUAGCUUUUACCAGACGCUGGGCAGCUCCUACCUUCUGCAUGCUGCAUUCCGCAAUAGCCGCAUACAAUCUUCUGAUAUGAGUUUGUUUUCCUUUUAUCAUACUUGGAAACUGGGUGCACUUCCUUUCGAGACUUUUCUUCAUUAUUUAUUGACUUCUCAUGUUUUUCACCUAUCAUUGUCUCGCAACACACA